GAUGAACGCUGGCGGCGUGCCUAAUACAUGCAAGUCGAGCGAACAGACGAGGAGCUUGCUCCUCUGACGUUAGCGGCGGACGGGUGAGUAACACGUGGAUAACCUACCUAUAAGACUGGGAUAACUUCGGGAAACCGGAGCUAAUACCGGAGCAUAUAUUGAACCGCAUGGUUCAAUAGUGAAAGACGGCUUUGCUGUCACUUAUAGAUGGAUCCGCGCCGCAUUAGCUAGUUGGUAAGGUAACGGCUUACCAAGGCGACGAUGCGUAGCCGACCUGAGAGGGUGAUCGGCCACACUGGAACUGAGACACGGUCCAGACUCCUACGGGAGGCAGCAGUAGGGAAUAUUCCGCAAUGGGCGAAAGCCUGACGGAGCAACGCCGCGUGAGUGAUGAAGGUCUUCGGAUCGUAAAACUCUGUUAUUAGGGAAGAACAAAUGUGUAAUUAACUAUGCACGUCUUGACGGUACCUAAUCAGAAAGCCACGGCUAACUACGUG
This 497-nucleotide ribosomal RNA is filed under the name uncultured bacterium. Its description in RNAcentral is "partial 16S ribosomal RNA". It matches the Rfam family "Bacterial small subunit ribosomal RNA", at positions 28 to 507 of the family's 1533-position model. The record is from RNAcentral.